Xenopus tropicalis (tropical clawed frog) is the source of this 2139-nucleotide long non-coding RNA. RefSeq annotates it as caspase recruitment domain family member 18. NCBI's taxonomy places the organism in Eukaryota, Metazoa, Chordata, Amphibia, Anura, Pipidae. The record is from RefSeq and is a predicted model, not a curated record. The transcript has 5 exons.
GGGUAGGGCAGGCAGAGUAUGGCACACACAUGCAGCAUAGGGCAGCCAUCAGUUGGACAGCAUUGCCUUAGGCAAUACUGGCCUAGUGUAGGAACCACAGUGUAAAGAGAGUCAGAAUAUCCUUACCCUGAUGGCAGGGUUCAGCCUGUGGGUGAGAUUCCACCCUUUGAUGAGUUCUACUUUAUCUGAACAUUUUAGAGUGAGUAUGUUACUUUUGCCUUGUUGUACAGAAUACAGUAUUAUAGUAUCAGUUGCAUAAGGACUUUAAAGGAGAACUAAAGUUUUAAGUGGGGGAGCCAAAAUGUUAGGUACCACCCCCCCCCCACCCAGUGAUUAGAAUCACUUACCGGAUACCCUGGGCUGCUGCUCCUGUUUGCUAAAAAAAAUCCACCUGCCCAGGGUAUUUCUGCAGGAGAUCCUUGUCAACUUUAUUUUUGGAUUCUUCAGUGCGCCCCUGGAGAAAAGAAAAGAAAAAAGGAACAAAGAUUAUGCCAAAGAACUUCUGCAGAAAUACCCCGGGGCAGAGUAGAUUUCUGCUAAAAGGAGCUCCAGCCCAGUGUAUUAGGUAAGCUAUUACAAUCACUGGGGGUGCUUAACAUUUGAUACUAUAGUUCUCCUUUAAAGGAUAACUUGGCACAGCUGUUCUAUGUUGCAUAUUUACUGAAUAAUCUGCCAAAUUAUGUUUAAGCUACCUGUGAGUUAUAGUCAACUACAACACUCCUCCACCAUUCUAACAAAGGCCCGAGUUUGAGUCAUGUGCCGCCUCCUCUGGGAGUUGCACCUCCCCUGCUGGCAUACUUUGGGUUAAACACUGGGCAACAAAGCAUUACAAUGGUAAAAGCGGUUCUUUGGAAGUUCUAUGGAGUUUCUACAGAGGUCAGCUGAUUUCCAGUGGGUUGUGUUUGCAGAGUGCACCAAUACCAAAUCUUCCUCUCCCCCGUAUGAUAAGGCGUUCCCUCCAACAGCCAAAUCUGGAGCUACUGCGCGCCUUAUAUAAAUAUUUCUUAGUUUGUCACUUCAUCCGGACCACAUAACUCGCUUACAGACAUAAGCUCCCCUAUCCCAGCAUUCUGGGCCAGUACUACAUGUGCAAGUACUACAUAUCUUACUUGAUGUUUCACACACUUUGAAAUGGAAUGAGAAGGAGCGGCAAUCCUCCAGGCACAAGGGAAAGAAAUAAAAUCCACUUGAUCUUACGUCAAGAUCCCGGUACCCCUCAUUCAAGUUUGGGAAAUAACCAGGAAAAUCAGAAAAUACAAACACUACAUAGUGAAGAAGCUUUAAUCACAACAUAGCAACCGACUCCGUUUCCACUACGGGCAUUUGGGACAAAGAAAAACAAACAGAGGAAAUGGCUGAUCGCCUCAGGAAUGUAAGGAGAAUGUUUAUAGAAGGUGUGAGCGUGGCUGUGAUUAGAGGACUGCUGGACAGUCUUUAUCAUGAUGAUAUCAUUGGAGAUGGGGAGAAAGAAUUGGUUACCGAGAAUACAAAUGUUGUGCGGGAUCAAGCCCGAUGUCUGAUUGACAUGGUUAUAAAAAAAGGGAAUGUGGCAUCAAACAAAUUUAUACAGGCGCUUCAAGAAGAAGAUCCUACACUAUGUGCUAAUUUGGGCCUAAACCCAUAAACCUUAUGGGCACACUUUGAGUUCAUUUUAUUGCUGGGGAGGGCUUUAAGCUAAUGUAUCAGUGUAAGUCAGUGAUACUGGGGGAUCCAUUGUAGAGUUAAGGGAGAGUUGCCUUUUUUCAACCCAAAUGACUUAUGCAGCUAUCUGCACUCUUGCCAGGGCGAAGCAGGAAGGGCAUUUGCUCUGGGCCCCCGGCAUUAAAUGGGGCCCCUUGGAGGUAAAAACUUGCAUAAAAGAAAUCAAAUGGCAUAUAAUGCAUCAGAGAUACCCAAUCGGCAGCCCUUAUACAGCUGUUGAUACACUGCAACUUCCGUAGGCAAAGCUGAAAAGGUGGGGAUAAUAUUUCAAUAACAGCAAAAUGGUUGCAGGUUGGGUAUAAUUCAUUUCUGUACUCACCCUGCCUUCCAGAUGGGGGCAUUAGUCCCUGCAUUGUUUUAAAAGGAACCAACAUUGUAUAAUGUGGGAUAAUCCCUGAAUGUAAACAAUCAAAAUAAAGCCUCUGUUUUUACAUUGCC